GCCAACUUAGCUCAGUUGGUAGAGCAGCUGAUUUGUAAUCAGCAGGUCGUGGGUUCGAGUCCCACAAUUGGCUCCA
Molecule: transfer RNA, 76 nt
Filed under: Clostridiales bacterium
Lineage: Bacteria; Bacillati; Bacillota; Clostridia; Eubacteriales
Also listed under: 2 other names
Description: tRNA-Thr
Rfam family: tRNA
About the family: Transfer RNA (tRNA) molecules are approximately 80 nucleotides in length. Their secondary structure includes four short double-helical elements and three loops (D, anti-codon, and T loops). Further hydrogen bonds mediate the characteristic L-shaped molecular structure. tRNAs have two regions of fundamental functional importance: the anti-codon, which is responsible for specific mRNA codon recognition, and the 3' end, to which the tRNAs corresponding amino acid is attached (by aminoacyl-tRNA synthetases). tRNAs cope with the degeneracy of the genetic code in two manners: having more than one tRNA (with a specific anti-codon) for a particular amino acid; and 'wobble' base-pairing, i.e. permitting non-standard base-pairing at the 3rd anti-codon position.
Source: RNAcentral